GUGAUAAGGGAACUCCGAGUGCCCGUUAAAUCGGGCUGUCCACCAGUUUAAAUAACUGGUGAAGAAAGGGCCGGGCAAGACCGGUGCCAGCCGCCGCGGUAAUACCGGCGGCUCGAGUGGUGGCCACUAUUACUGGGCUUAAAGCGUUCGUAGCUGGUUUGUUAAGUCUUUGGGGAAAUCUACCGGCUUAACCGGUAGGCGUCU
RNAcentral lists this ribosomal RNA (204 nucleotides) under uncultured archaeon. Its description in RNAcentral is "partial 16S ribosomal RNA". It matches the Rfam family "Archaeal small subunit ribosomal RNA", at positions 367 to 575 of the family's 1478-position model. The record is from RNAcentral.